CCUACGGGUGGCAGCAGUGAGGCAUAUUGGUCAAUGGACGAGAGUCUGAACCAGCCAAGUAGCGUGAAGGAUGACUGCCCUAUGGGUUGUAAACUUCUUUUAUAAAGGAAUAAAACGAGGCACGUGUGCGUUUUUGCAUGUACUUUAUGAAUAAGGAUCGGCUAACUCCGUGCCAGCAGCCGCGGUAAUACGGAGGAUCCGAGCGUUAUCCGGAUUUAUUGGGUUUAAAGGGAGCGUAGAUGGGUUGUUAAGUCAGUUGUGAAAGUUUGCGGCUCAACCGUAAAAUUGCAAUUGAUACUGGCAGUCUUGAGUACAGUUGAGGUAGGCGGAAUUCGUGGUGUAGCGGUGAAAUGCUUAGAUAUCACGAAGAACCCCGAUUGCGAAGGCAGCUGACUAAACUGUGACUGACAUUGAUGCUCGAAAGUGUGGGUAUCAAACAGGAUUAGAUACCCGUGUAGUC
RNAcentral lists this ribosomal RNA (460 nucleotides) under uncultured bacterium. RNAcentral describes it as "partial 16S ribosomal RNA". It matches the Rfam family "Bacterial small subunit ribosomal RNA", at positions 338 to 795 of the family's 1533-position model. The record is from RNAcentral.